RNAcentral lists this ribosomal RNA (301 nucleotides) under uncultured bacterium. Its description in RNAcentral is "partial 16S ribosomal RNA". It matches the Rfam family "Bacterial small subunit ribosomal RNA", at positions 509 to 808 of the family's 1533-position model. The record is from RNAcentral.
CAGCAGCCACGGGAAUACGGAGGGGGCUAGCGUUGUUCGGAAUUACUGGGCGUAAAGCGCACGUAGGCGGCUUUGUAAGUUAGAGGUGAAAGCCAGGGCUCAACCCUGGAAUUGCCUUUAAGACUGCCGAGCUAGUAGGUGAGAGAGGUAAGUGGAAUUCCGAGUGUAGAGGUGAAAUUCGUAGAUAUUCGGAAGAACACCAGUGGCGAAGGCGGCUUACUGGCUCAUUCUAGACGCUGAGGUGCGAAAGCGUGGGGAGCAAACAGGAUUAGAUACCCGUGUAGUCCCUGUCUCUUAUACA